ACUCCUACGGGAGGCAGCAGUGGGGAAUAUUGCACAAUGGGCGCAAGCCUGAUGCAGCCAUGCCGCGUGUAUGAAGAAGGCCUUCGGGUUGUAAAGUACUUUCAGCAGUGAGGAAGGCGGGUACGUUAAUACGCGUAUUCGUUUGACGUUAGCUGCAGAAGAAAGCACCGGCUAACUCCGUGCCAGCAGCCGCGGUAAUACGGAGGGUGCGAGCGUUAAUCGGAAUUACUGGGCGUAAAGCGCAUGCAGGUGGUUUGUUAAGUCAGAUGUGAAAGCCCGGGGCUCAACCUCGGAAUUGCAUUUGAAACUGGCAGACUAGAGUACUGUAGAGGGGGGUAGAAUUUCAGGUGUAGCGGUGAAAAUGCGUAGAGAUCUGAAGGAAUACCGGUGGCGAAGGCGGCCCCCUGG
RNAcentral lists this ribosomal RNA (408 nucleotides) under uncultured bacterium. RNAcentral describes it as "bacterial SSU rRNA". It matches the Rfam family "Bacterial small subunit ribosomal RNA", at positions 335 to 732 of the family's 1533-position model. The record is from RNAcentral.